This 371-nucleotide ribosomal RNA is filed under the name uncultured organism. RNAcentral describes it as "bacterial SSU rRNA". It matches the Rfam family "Bacterial small subunit ribosomal RNA", at positions 527 to 896 of the family's 1533-position model. The record is from RNAcentral.
GGAGGGUGCGAGCGUUGUUCGGAAUUAUUGGGCGUAAAGCGCGUGUAGGCGGCUCCUUAAGUCUGAUGUGAAAGCCCCGGGCUCAACCUGGGAAGUGCAUUGGAAACUGGGGAACUUGAAUACGGGAGAGGGUAGUGGAAUUCCUAGUGUAGGAGUGAAAUCCGUAGAUAUUAGGAGGAACACCGGUGGCGAAGGCGGCUACCUGGACCGAUAUUGACGCUGAGACGCGAAAGCGUGGGGAGCAAACAGGAUUAGAUACCCUGGUAGUCCACGCCGUAAACGAUGAGUACUAGGUGUUGCGGGUAUUGACCCCUGCAGUGCCGCAGCUAACGCAUUAAGUGCCCCGCCUGGGGAGUACGGCCGCAAGGCUA